CGUAGGGGCUAGCGUUGUCCGGAAUCACUGGGCGUAAAGGGUUCGCAGGCGGCAAUGCAAGUCAGAUGUAAAGGCAUAGGCUUAACCUAUGUAAGCAACUGAAACUGUAUAGCUUGAGAAGUGUAGAGGCAAGUGGAAUUUUUAGUGUAGCGGUGAAAUGCGUAGAUAUUAAAAGAUACCGGUGGCGAAGGCGACUUGCUGGGCACAAUCUGACGCUGAGGAACGAAAGCGUGGGGAGCAAACAGGAUU
This 249-nucleotide ribosomal RNA is filed under the name uncultured bacterium. Its description in RNAcentral is "partial 16S ribosomal RNA". It matches the Rfam family "Bacterial small subunit ribosomal RNA", at positions 526 to 779 of the family's 1533-position model. The record is from RNAcentral.